AAUAUUAAUAGAAAAUUAUGUUAAAUUUAAUUUUUGUUUAAAAAUUAAUUAAAUUUUAUAAAUACUAUAUAAUAUUAAAUUAAAAAAUUAUAUUUAAAGUAAUAUUUAAAUUUUAUUAAAAUUAAUGAAAGUUAGAAUAAGAUAAAAAUAAUAAAAAUAGGAAAAUUUAGUGCCAGCAUCAGCGGUUAGACUAUUUAUUUAAGUUAAUUUAAUACUUUAUAUAGAAAAAUUAUUUCUAAAAAGUAAGUUUAAUUAAUAAUUUAUUAUUUGGUGAAAUAUAAUAAAUUAUUAUUAAAAUUUUUAAAAAUUUUAAUUUUAUGAAAGUUAUAAAAUAAACUAGGAUUAGAUACCCUAUUAUAAUAAAUGUAUUAAUAUAUAGAAGAAAUUAAAUGAUAAAUCAUUAAAUUUAAAAGAUUUGGCAGUAUUUAAAAUUUAGAGGAACCUGUGUAGUAAUUGAUGAUCCACGAUAAGAUAUACUUAAUUUUAAAUUUAUGUAUUGCUGUUUUAAAUAUUUAAUUAAGUUAGACAAUAUAAUUUAUAAUAUUUUUAAUGAAAUAAAAUAAUUCAAGUCAAAAUAUAGUUUAGUUAAGAUUUAAUAUGGGUUACAAUUAAUUUAAUUAUUGGAUUAAAAAAUUUAAUUUUUUUAUGAAAUUGGAUUUAAAAGUAAAUUUAAUUAAUUAAUUAAAUUGAAUAAUAAAUUAAAUAUGUACAAAUUGCCCGUCACUUUCAAUAAAAUGGAAUAAGUCGUAACAAAGUUUAAGUACCGGAAGGUGCCUAUUGAUAAAUAUAAAAAUUAUAAUAUAUAAAUUAAAAGAUUUUAGUUUAUGUUAAAAUAAUUUAUUUACAAUAAAUA
This 853-nucleotide non-coding RNA is filed under the name Vespa velutina. Lineage: Eukaryota; Metazoa; Arthropoda; Insecta; Hymenoptera; Vespidae. The record is from RNAcentral.